UACAGCAGAUCGCCGAUUGUUCUCACUUUGAUUAUGCUGUAACAACAUACUGCAGCACCAUGACCAGGAACUCUAUUAAUUUAAUUGAGCAGAUUAGGGCUUUCAGGAGGAACGGAAAAUCUACUGGAGACAUUUAAAAGAUACUGGUAGACUUGGGGAUUUUAGUCACGGACAGUGCUAUUCGCAGACACUGUCAUCAGAUGCCUGUGUUACGCCGAACGCGAAAUCCCAGGAAAACGAACAGGUACAGUAGGUGACAACACUGCAAAGUUGGCCUAGUAAUGCUAAAAAUAAUCCUUAAAUAAAUCGACUGCUGGUCUUUACUGUAUGCUGCACAUUUUUACGUUGAAUACCAUUUCCAGCAAGACUAUUCAAGCCAUCGACUCACUGAUGAAUGAAAAUGAUGAGCGAUCGACAAAUGCCAUGUGUAAUCUGCUUGCAUCACGGCACAUCAACAUCGUUCUAAUCACAGUCAGAAGACAGUUGAAGAAACUUACAUGGACUUAUGGAAAGGCUCGUGGGAGAAAAACCAAAAGCCUGCUGUCGCCUCAUGGGUCUCCCAGUCACAGCUGGCACAGGAUCUGUAGUUACGCAGUAUUCACUGCGAUGCAGUGACAGCUGCGCCACUCAGGCACUGUACAAGGUCAUUCGUCGGGAGUGGACUACACUACCACAGGAUAGGACUGUAACCACCAGAGGACUUGAAAAUGAGUCGGAGCUGAGAGGAUCAAAACUAAAGGUGAAAAUCAUUACUCCCCAAUCAGUCAACCAGAAGAUACACCUCCUCCUGUUUCCUACCCAAUCACAGUUCCUUUCCCUUGGUUUAAAAACCCUGUCAGUUGUUUGCUCUACAGCUCAAUCUCUCUGUAAAUGCCAUGUCUGUAGGUCUCUGUGUUUCACUCUCGCUUUGUGUAUUAACCUCUCUUUUGUUUGAGCACCUCCAUAGCACUUUGUCAUCACCCGUGAGUAUUGUUUUUGGUUAUGGUGUUUGUGUUUGAUUGCUGGUGGGAAAAGGGGAAACCAAGACAAGUCGCCCAUGGGCAUACACUACCCGUAGGUAAACUUUGUUAAAUACACUAGUUAGAACUGGGCGGACCACCCACUGUAUUUUUGGUUAGUUAGCUGUUGUUAAAGUAGGCUAGUCUAGCUUAGGGGUGUUUUUGAAUACUUAUUGUUUCUUUCCUUGGGUCCAGCUCAGCCCC
Long non-coding RNA from Oncorhynchus nerka (sockeye salmon), 1202 nucleotides. RefSeq lists it as uncharacterized. NCBI's taxonomy places the organism in Eukaryota, Metazoa, Chordata, Actinopteri, Salmoniformes, Salmonidae. The transcript is spliced from 4 exons. The record is from RefSeq and is a predicted model, not a curated record.